GUAUCGCAGUUUUAUCCAAGUUACUUUUGUUGGACCUUGUUUAAUAAUUGAGAAGAUGCCAAAGACACGAGCUAAGACAAGAAAAGUUGACAGGAGGACCCUAAGAAAAGAAAGAUUUCAUCAUUUGGGAAAGAAAAGUUGGGAAAA
Molecule: long non-coding RNA, 147 nt
Filed under: Amphimedon queenslandica
Lineage: Eukaryota; Metazoa; Porifera; Demospongiae; Haplosclerida; Niphatidae
Description: uncharacterized LOC109589362
Source: RNAcentral